UACGUAGGGUGCAAGCGUUAAUCGGAAUUACUGGGCGUAAAGCGUGCGCAGGCGGUUUUAUAAGUCUGAUGUGAAAUCCCCGGGCUCAACCUGGGAAUUGCAUUGGAGACUGCAAGGCUAGAAUCUGGCAGAGGGGGGUAGAAUUCCACGUGUAGCAGUGAAAUGCGUAGAGAUGUGGAGGAACACCGAUGGCGAAGGCAGCCCCCUGGGUCAAGAUUGACGCUCAUGCACGAAAGCGUGGGGAGCAAACAGG
Molecule: ribosomal RNA, 253 nt
Filed under: uncultured bacterium
Lineage: Bacteria
Description: partial 16S ribosomal RNA
Rfam family: Bacterial small subunit ribosomal RNA
Source: RNAcentral